RNAcentral lists this long non-coding RNA (5248 nucleotides) under Limulus polyphemus (Atlantic horseshoe crab). Its description in RNAcentral is "uncharacterized LOC111086303". Lineage: Eukaryota; Metazoa; Arthropoda; Merostomata; Xiphosura; Limulidae. The record is from RNAcentral.
UUAGAUAAAAAUUUGUAUAAGGCUAUAAAGGAAAACAACUUUUUUCCAAUUUGUGCUUUAACAGUAAGCUUGAUUAUUUCACUAUAUAUAUGCUACUCAGUCUAUUUGUAUUAAUAAUAACAACAUUGUGGCACUUUAAAAUAAUAUUGCAUUUUAUAGUAUUCAAUAUUAGGUUCAAUGGAAAAAGUAUUUUCACUAAAAUAUCUAUUCUAUGGAAAAGCCUUUUAACAUUGAAGAAAUACAUUCCAAGUUAAUACUUGUUGUGUAUGAGGCUUAGGUUACAGAAUUUAAAAAAAACAAUAGCACCAGCACAUAAACAUUUCUAGUGAAAAUAUUAGAAGAAUUGAUACCAAAAUGUAAAGUACCUGUUAUGCUGCUUUAAUAAUAUGUAGAGGGGGUAUAUUAUUAUUUUACCAACUCCUUCCAUGGUGGUAUUUCUUCCACCAUGGAUUUUAUAGGUGGCAGAUUGAUUGCAAUUUAAUUGUUUAAUGGUAAAAUUUUCAAAAAUUAGAAAUGCUUGAUUUCAAAGGUUAAUAUUGCAUAUGACUGAAAAAAAACAUUCCUUCCAACAUAAUUUAACUGAACUAAUGUUUUAUACCAACCAGGAUUGAUAAGUCACAUAAACAUAAUUUUUCUAAAAUAAUAAUCUUUUAAAGAAACUGUCAGUUUCAACUUGUACAUCAUAACUGUUUGGUUUAUUGUUUCUAAAAUUUUAGCUUGGUUUAUUUUAGGAUGCUGGAUUGAGGAAGUUUCAUCUCAAGGCCAGCGAAAGGAACAACAUUUUCAGUGUACCGUUUGUUCCCGUUCCUUUAACCGCAAGGGAAACUUGUCAAGACAUAUGGUGUUGCAUGCGCCAGUGAGAAGUAAAUUCACAUGUCAGCUUUGUGGGGUAGAAUUUUUUUGGAGACAUCAUUUAGUUAGACAUUGGAGAUACAAUCAUUCUGAACAUUCUCAUGAAAACUUGCAGUCAUUAGCUCUUCAGUGAUGGAUGUAGGUUAGAGAUGUCAGGAGUCAUGCAGUAAUCGUAACAGUCAAUUUUUGUUUGUGUCAUGUAAUUAUCAUGUAGAAUUGUGUUUUACUUUCAUAUUUACUAACGACUUGUUUUACGUAACCUGUAAGUUGUUGUUUUUGUGACGUUGGUUGUUUCUUGCUUUGAUUGAAAUGUGAUGUCAGUUAAAUAAUUAAAUUUGAUACUUUAGAGGAACUGUAGAAAAUCUCGUAUAUUUUAUAAAAUGUUAUAAUCAAGAAGAAGAAUUUGUGAAAGACUCGGUCUUUAAAGCCGUUUAACUUCAUAAAAUACAGGCAAUAAUAGCCUUUCGUUUGUACUUGCUGAAAGCAUUCGCGUGCUGUAUGAAAGAGCAAUCGAUCGUUCGUCAACUAUUGCGUUGGUCAGGUUAAAGUUGAGUCGAAAUACAGCUUUAAUGACGUCACUUUUAAUCGAUGUAUUUGCCGCAGUUUGCCGGGAUACAGCAUGACAGCGUAUAGAGUUAUGCAUCGUUUGAAAUGACAUAAAAAAAUAAAUUUAAAGAGUAUAAGGAUAACAAAUUUAUUGUCUGUAUUAUAAAUGGCUAAAAUGAUGUGGGAUAUAAAAUAGAAAAAUAUACAAUGUUUCGUUAACCAAAUUCAGGCGAUUGAAGCAUUAUCAGUCUAUAUUGGUUAUGGUGGGUGGAAGACGAAGAGGUAGACCACCACGUGCUGCACACAUGUCUCGUGAACCGGGUCUCAUCUGUUCUAUCUGCAAAACCAGUUAUACUAACAAGACCAUCCUGAAAAACCAUAUGAACAUGCAUCGACCCCAACGGCAGGUCUACUACUGUGAAAUCUGUAACAAGGGUUUCUACUGGCAGACUAAUGUUUACGCUCACAAACGAAUGGUGCAUCAGACUCCUCCACUCAGACACUACUCACCGAUAAGGUCGAACAAAUCACCACAAAUGUCCUCAAACUAAUGAAUGUUUGUUUACACCACAUAUCUUACCCACACCCUUUUCACAAAAUCAGAGAAAAGGUCACCCCAGAUGAGGGCUGAAACACGUUCCCUUAUAUAUAUAUAUAUAUAUCAUAUAAUAUCUUGUACAUCUGAUUUUAAAACGCGCAGAAUUUCCACACCGGUUUUAUUAUGCUCUGAUUGCGUAGUUUAUACAUUUGCGUAAAAUAACCCCCUCCAUUUCUUUUGUAAUCGAAAGUCGACGUGUUAUUGCAAAAAUUUUUUAAAUACAAGUUUUGUGACUGUAUUGAGUUAGGACUAGCAGUAAUUUGUCAAUAUCAUGUAGUAAUUAUACAUCAAUAAGUCUUACUUAAAUUCUAUGAUAUCGGUAUUAAUACAGUGUAGCAACGAGUAGAAAGCAGGAAUUUUAAUAAGUACUAUUAUCUCUGUUGUAUGGACGUGUUUGUGUGUUAGAUGUUUAACGUUGCCCUGAUAUCGGUGUUAAUACAGUAUAGCAACGAGUAGAAAGCAGGAAUUUUAAAAAGUACUUGACGUUCAACUCAUAUAUAUAUGAAUAUUAUGUGUGUUGUAUGGACGUGUUUGUGUGUUAGAUGUUUAACGUUGCCCUACUCUAGUUAUAUAGGUGCCGUAACAUUUUGUGUUUAGAUUUUAACUGAUAUUAUGAAAAAUCUAGCUAAUAACUAUUGAACGUAUAAUUAUGUAUUGUUUUGUGUGUGUAUGCUCAGUGCCAUACCGUGUAAACUUUUAUGUUGUAUUUUUGAUAUUGGUCAAGUUUUCAAAUUACGUAGUGUGCCAUAACAAUUUGUGUGAAUCUAUUGUAUAUUGAGGAACGUAUAUUCAGAGAUGUGCUUCAUUUUUCAAUAUUAUUUAUUUAUUGAAUGUAAUAUCUGCAUAUACAUUUAAGUCACAUUUGUAUAUCUAUCUUUAGUUACAGCUGAGCUUACAUGACGUCCCUAGGUGGGUCGGGUUAAGAUCCAGGGUUCGAUUCCCAGCGCGGAUAUCCCAUUGUGUAGCUUUGCGCUUAAACAAACAAACAAAGCUUACCCUAACAAUUUUGAAGGUAGUUCAUUAAUAAUAUUAUUACAAAGCAAAAUUAUUAAGCCUUCUAGAGUAAUUCGAGUUGAAAAUCAAACUUUACCUAUUUACUAAAAGUAAAAUAUGUCAAAAGCUAAUAGAACUUUUCAUAAAACCUGUAAUUGAAUCAUUGCUUAUGAAUUUUAUGCUUUUUAAACGUUGAACCGAAAAUAAAAAACUUAUUUUGGAAACUUAAAUAUAGUCCACUAUAUUUCAUCGAAGUUGAUUAGAUCUAACUUUGAACUGCCUCAGAAGUGCCACGUAGCGGUUUAAGCAUUUUUUCUUUUGUAGGUAAAAUUAUUUUUAUCAAAAUAUAUGCAAGUGACUCACACUUAAUGAUUUGAGAAUACCAAUCAUUUCAAAAUUGUUUAGAUGAAAUAUUUACUUCCACGAUAUACAGCUGUAUGAUAUUUCUAUAUGAUAACAUCAUUAUUUAAGUCUUAAUACUUGUUUUAGGCGAGCUCUGUAAAUCUUUGAAAAACAAGGCGAUUCUUUGGAGAGGUUGCGACACUUGCCCAGCAAAAGAUAAUACGCGUGAUCCCAAGAUAAUACAUAUAAAAUAUGGUUCGGUCGUUUUUGUACUCUUACUAAAGAAUGUCACAUUUAUUUCUAACUUCUGAAUUAACCCACUUUAAAUUAGUAUAUAAGACAAUCACAUACUGGAGGUGGCCACAUACUUUCUUCGUAUUUUAGCUUGAGUUAUCAAGUGCACGGUGUUAAAAAAUAUACUGGUUUUUCUGUAUUGUGUUAACACGUGCAGUGCGAGUUACAAUUGCAAGGACACUUAGCUUAUAUUUCAAAAUUUCUAACCCAAUAUCAUGAUACUGGAAGUUAUUUAUGAGGGUAAGCCAUAACUUUCCACUGUAGCUUUCUUGUUGGAAGAGUAAAUCAUUUCAUUCCACAUAAGCCUCAUUACAUGGUUAAAUAUCUGUUCUGUACCUUCAACUGAGAUUUCAUUUUUACAUACCUCCUUUUGUUUAGAAUAUCGUAGACUGAAAACAGGUAUUUAUUUGUAAUUGACAUUAUUUUGAUAGUAAUUAAUUUUAUUAGGUAGGCAGGAAGUUUGUUCAAUUCAAAAAUAUUUUGUAUAUAUAUAUAUAUAUAUAUUCGUUUUCAUUAACUAAUUUUUCCAAAGACGAAUGAACUUAUUAAGUGUAAAGUUACAAAUUAGUAACAGAUGAGUAGCGGACUAAGCACUAAUUACACGUACCUGAUAAUGUAGCAAGUGUUUCAGUGAAGUGGAUCAUCUCCGCGGGCUGUUUCCGUUUACAUAGAUUUUAAUAUACAAAUAAUAAAAUAAAGCAAGUCUUACUUUUCUUUAUUAUUUCGUGGUGGUAUCAUUUAUAUGAAACUCAGACUGGAGUUUUAUUUACCAUUUUUUUAUAUUACUGUUAUCCAGGAAAAUGAAUCGGUGUGUUGAUUUAUAAAAAAAUUGCAAAUACCUGUUGAAAACUGCAGUUAAACUUUUAUUUGACGUCAGGCAUGGCAUAAUGUUGUGCACACCCCGAACUAUUUUGCUCUUUAUAAAAGUGCCAUUCUCUCUUGUCAGCAUUUUGUGCUUCCGAGUAGUGAAAGUGGGGUUUUCCCCCACACCUAAAUUACGAGUAUUUGGAUCUUUAGGUCCCCACCCACCCUGUGUGCUGCUUUCACUGCCACAAACAGCUUAUUUACCCAAAAGAAAGGCUCUAUCACCUAUUCAUCCUGGUUCUUCCGCUUCUUGCUUGCUGACCUCGAUAGACAGAAUAGACACACAUGUAUAUAGGUAUGUAUGUAUGUACGUAUUAAUUUUUUCGUACAUUACUGGCUAUGCUAUCAACAUUAAGCCACCCAUGAAAUUUUAAAUCUUGUGCGGGGUGAAGAGAAAAUCAUUUUCCGAACACCCCCGGUUAAGUAUGACCCUAAGUUUUCCUGACCAGGGUUAUAAGAUUUUAAACCAAAAUCAUUGCCAUGUUUUUCUUCUUCUUCUGUCGGCAUUUAAAAACUAAGUGACAGUUGUAUCUUAACCUUGGGAUCUAUGAUUUGGACGUAUAGUCAGAAUAUAGAAUAUUCUUUUUAAAAACUAGGUGAAAGUUGUAUCUUAACCUUGGGAUCUAUGAUUUGGACGUAUAGUCAGAAUAUAGAAUAUUCUUUUUAAAAACUAGGUGACAGUUGUAUCUUAACCUUGGGAUCUACGACUUGACCGAAUAGUCAGAAUAUAGAAUAUUCUUUUUAAAAACUAGGUGACAG